AGAAUACAGGCUUGGAGAUUACUCUAACUGGCUGCAGAAACGGGUCAACAGUGACAAGAAUUGGAAUAAGAUUAGGAGUUGUUUGCAAGACAGUAAGAUCUGCCAGAGGUUGCUGGAUGAUGGCUCCUCCACCAGAGUUGAAGAUUUUUACAGGGAACGCCUCUCUGCUCUUCAGGUAAAUGCAGCAUACAUAAUUUUUGCAUUAUUUGGUUCUUGGAAAUUCAUUGUAAACAAGAAAACUUAAGAUCCUUCUCUUAAUUAUAUGCAAUAAAUCUAAUUGUUUUUAAAAGUUGAUGGGGGAUCUGAUAUCUUUUUGAGCGAAUAAGGAAUAAAUAUCUCUUUGUUUGACAUAUUCUUAUACCAUAAAGGUUUGGGUCACCACUCACAAACUUUAUUUAUUUAUUAUUUCCUAUGAUAUUUCUUCCUAACACGUUCCUCACAUGUUCUCUUCAAUUCAUUGUCUUUUAUGAAUUAUCCUUUUCCUUUAAACCUCUGAGUGAGUUAUAGCAAAGUGUUAGUGAUUUGAGCAACAAUAAUAACGAUGAAGAAUAUGAAAUCGACAAAGAAAUGUAAUCUUAGCCCCUGUUUAAGCCACAUUUUUAACUCAUUAAAAUAAAAAAUAUAACCGUUAUCCAUCACUAUCAUUUUUAAAUUUCUAUCUCUAGUGUGGGGCCAUAACGACUCUAUUUAUCAUUCUCAUUUUCAUUAUAAUGUGGCUCAAACACUCUUAAUGUCAAACAGAACUUCAGUGUACAUAUCUGUUAGUACACUUCUGAUGCUUCACCAACUUUUAUAUAAGCUGUGGCAAUUGUUUUCUUGUACGUCCAUUCCCUCUCUAAUAUAAUAUUCUAAUCAUGUUCGCUAGUUAGCUGAUCUUGGAUUUGCCAUCCAGUUUCUUUCGUUUUCGUAUUCGAAAACCCAACUUCUCUAUCAAACUUACUAAUACUGUUCUUGUAUCAUUUCUUCAGUCUGGUUGCUGUAAACCAUCAAACGACUGCAACUUCCAGUAUGUUAGCCCCACCAACUGGACUAGGACCUCUCAAUCGUCGUCAACAAAUUCCGACUGCGCUAAGUGGAGCAAUGACCCUAAUGCUUUGUGCUAUAGCUGCCAAUCAUGCAAGGCUGGGUUGCUGGAUAACAUCAAGAGAGACUGGAAGAGAGUGGCUGUCAUCAACAUCAUAUUCCUAGUCUUUCUCAUAAUCGUCUACUCCGUUGGAUGCUGCGCUUUUAGAAACAAUCGGGAGGACAACGGAUGGAAACGAUAUCCUUGAAUGUGUCCAUAA
This 1283-nucleotide long non-coding RNA is filed under the name Olea europaea (common olive). RNAcentral's name for it is "long non-coding RNA (OEUR_LNC004287)". Lineage: Eukaryota; Viridiplantae; Streptophyta; Magnoliopsida; Lamiales; Oleaceae. The record is from RNAcentral.